CCCUUAACUAUUAAAAGUUUCUUUUUGGUCCUUUAACUUACUUUUUAGUUUCGUUUUGGUCCCUUAACUCUUCCUCCGUCAACCACUUUGGUCCUUUAUGUUAGGAUGAAUGUAUUAGAGUUAAGGAACCAAAAUGAAACAAAAAAAAUAAGUUAAGGGACCAAAACGAAACCAAAAAAUAAGUUAAAGGACCAAAACGAAACUUUUAAUAGUUAAGGGA
RNAcentral lists this microRNA precursor (220 nucleotides) under Medicago truncatula (barrel medic). RNAcentral's name for it is "MIR2655 microRNA precursor family". It matches the Rfam family "MIR2655 microRNA precursor family". Lineage: Eukaryota; Viridiplantae; Streptophyta; Magnoliopsida; Fabales; Fabaceae. The record is from Rfam by way of RNAcentral.